Molecule: ribosomal RNA, 1451 nt
Filed under: Weissella confusa
Lineage: Bacteria; Bacillati; Bacillota; Bacilli; Lactobacillales; Lactobacillaceae
Description: bacterial SSU rRNA
Rfam family: Bacterial small subunit ribosomal RNA
Source: RNAcentral
UAUACAUGCAAGUCGAACGCUUUGUGGUUCAACUGAUUUGAAGAGCUUGCUCAGAUAUGACGAUGGACAUUGCAAAGAGUGGCGAACGGGUGAGUAACACGUGGGAAACCUACCUCUUAGCAGGGGAUAACAUUUGGAAACAGAUGCUAAUACCGUAUAACAAUGACAACCGCAUGGUUGUUAUUUAAAAGAUGGUUCUGCUAUCACUAAGAGAUGGUCCCGCGGUGCAUUAGCUAGUUGGUAAGGUAAUGGCUUACCAAGGCGAUGAUGCAUAGCCGAGUUGAGAGACUGAUCGGCCACAAUGGGACUGAGACACGGCCCAUACUCCUACGGGAGGCAGCAGUAGGGAAUCUUCCACAAUGGGCGAAAGCCUGAUGGAGCAACGCCGCGUGUGUGAUGAAGGGUUUCGGCUCGUAAAACACUGUUGUAAGAGAAGAAUGACAUUGAGAGUAACUGUUCAAUGUGUGACGGUAUCUUACCAGAAAGGAACGGCUAAAUACGUGCCAGCAGCCGCGGUAAUACGUAUGUUCCAAGCGUUAUCCGGAUUUAUUGGGCGUAAAGCGAGCGCAGACGGUUAUUUAAGUCUGAAGUGAAAGCCCUCAGCUCAACUGAGGAAUUGCUUUGGAAACUGGAUGACUUGAGUGCAGUAGAGGAAAGUGGAACUCCAUGUGUAGCGGUGAAAUGCGUAGAUAUAUGGAAGAACACCAGUGGCGAAGGCGGCUUUCUGGACUGUAACUGACGUUGAGGCUCGAAAGUGUGGGUAGCAAACAGGAUUAGAUACCCUGGUAGUCCACACCGUAAACGAUGAGUGCUAGGUGUUUGAGGGUUUCCGCCCUUAAGUGCCGCAGCUAACGCAUUAAGCACUCCGCCUGGGGAGUACGACCGCAAGGUUGAAACUCAAAGGAAUUGACGGGGACCCGCACAAGCGGUGGAGCAUGUGGUUUAAUUCGAAGCAACGCGAAGAACCUUACCAGGUCUUGACAUCCCUUGACAACUCCAGAGAUGGAGCGUUCCCUUCGGGGACAAGGUGACAGGUGGUGCAUGGUUGUCGUCAGCUCGUGUCGUGAGAUGUUGGGUUAAGUCCCGCAACGAGCGCAACCCUUAUUACUAGUUGCCAGCAUUCAGUUGGGCACUCUAGUGAGACUGCCGGUGACAAACCGGAGGAAGGUGGGGAUGACGUCAAAUCAUCAUGCCCCUUAUGACCUGGGCUACACACGUGCUACAAUGGCGUAUACAACGAGUUGCCAACCCGCGAGGGUGAGCUAAUCUCUUAAAGUACGUCUCAGUUCGGAUUGUAGGCUGCAACUCGCCUACAUGAAGUCGGAAUCGCUAGUAAUCGCGGAUCAGCACGCCGCGGUGAAUACGUUCCCGGGUCUUGUACACACCGCCCGUCACACCAUGAGAGUUUGUAACACCCAAAGCCGGUGGGGUAACCUUCGGGAGCCAGCCGU